AAUGAUGGUGUGGUUGGUAAUGAUGGUGUGGUUGGUAAUGAUGGUGUUGAUGGUGUCGUUGGUAAUGAUGGCGUCGUUGGUAAUGAUGUUGUCGUUGGUAAUGAUGGUGUUGAUGGUAAUGAUGGUGUCGUGGUAAUGAUGGUGUGGUUGGUAAUGAUGGUGUGGUUGGUAAUAAUGGUGUGAUUGGUAAUGAUGGUGUUGAUGGUGUCGUUGGUAAUGAUGGUGUCGUUGGUAAUGAUGGUGUCGUUGGUAAUGAUGGUGUCGUUGGUAAUGAUGGUGUCGUUGGUAAUGAUGGUGUCGUGGUAAUGAUGGUGUAGAUGGUGUUGAUGGUGUCGUUGGUAAUGAUGGUGUGGUUGGUAAUGAUGGUAUGGUUGGUAAUGAUGGUGUUGAUGGUGUCGUUGGUAAUGAUGGUGUCGUUGGUAAUGAUGGUGUGGUUGGUAAUGAUGGUGUGUUUGGUAAUGAUGGUGUGGUUGGUAAUGAUGGUGUUGAUGGUGUCGUUGGUAAUGAUGGCGUCGUUGGUAAUGAUGUUGUCGUUGGUAAUGAUGGUGUCGAUGGUAAUGAUGGUGUCGUGGUAAUGAUGGUGUCGUUGGUAAUGAUGGUGUGGUUGGUAAUGAUGGUGUGGUUGGUAAUGAUGGUGUGAUUGCUAAUGAUGGUGUGAUUGGUAAUGAUGGUGUUGAUGGUAAUGAUGGUGUCGUGGUAAUGAUGGUGUGGUUGGUAAUAAUGGUGUGAUUGGUAAUGAUGGUGUUGAUGGUGUCGUUGGUAAUGAUGGUGUCGUUGGUAAUGAUGGUGUCGUUGGUAAUGAUGGUGUCGUGGUAAUGAUGGUGUAGAUGGUGUUGAUGGUGUCGUUGGUAAUGAUGGUGUGGUUGGUAAUGAUGGUGUUGAUGGUGUCGUUGGUAAUAAUGGUGUGAUUGGUAAUGAUGGUGUUGAUGGUGUCGUUGGUAAUGAUGGUGUCGUUGGUAAUGAUGGUGUCGUGGUAAUGAUGGUGUAGAUGGUGUUGAUGGUGUCGUUGGUAAUGAUGGUGUGGUUGGUAAUGAUGGUGUUGAUGGUGUCGUUGGUAAUGAUGGUGUCGUUGGUAAUGAUGGUGUCGUUGGUGUCGUUGGUAAUGAUGGUGUGGUUGGUAAUGAUGGUGUGGUUGGUAAUGAUGGUGUUGAUGGUGUCGUUGGUAAUGAUGGCGUCGUUGGUAAUGAUGGUGUUGAUGGUAAUGAUGGUGUCGUGGUAAUGAUGGUGUCGUUGGUAAUGAUGGUGUGGUUGGUAAUGAUGGUGUGAUUGGUAAUGAUGGUGUUGAUGGUGUCGUUGGUAAUGAUGGUGUCGUUGGUGUCGUUGGUAAUGAUGGUGUGGUUGGUAAUGAUGGUGUUGAUGGUGUCGUUGGUAAUGAUGGUGUCGUUGGUAAUGAUGGUGUCGUUGGUGUGGUUGGUAAUGAUGGUGUGGUUGGUAAUGAUGGUGUUGAUGGUGUUGUUGGUAAUGAUGGCGUCGUUGGUAAUGAUGGCGUCGUUGGUAAUGAUGGCGUCGUUGGUAAUGAUGGCGUCGUUGGUAAUGAUGGUGUCGUUGGUAAUGAUGGUGUGGUUGGUAAUGAUGGUGUGAUUGGUAAUGAUGGUGUUGAUGGUGUCGUUGGUAAUGAUGGUGUCAUUGGUGUCGUUGGUAAUGAUGGUGUGGUUGGUAAUGAUGGUGUUGAUGGUGUUGUUGGUAAUGAUGG
This 1693-nucleotide long non-coding RNA is filed under the name Salmo salar (Atlantic salmon). RNAcentral's name for it is "lncRNA (ENSSSAG00000092437.1)". Lineage: Eukaryota; Metazoa; Chordata; Actinopteri; Salmoniformes; Salmonidae. The record is from RNAcentral.